Molecule: non-coding RNA, 138 nt
Organism: Ornithorhynchus anatinus (platypus)
Lineage: Eukaryota; Metazoa; Chordata; Mammalia; Monotremata; Ornithorhynchidae
Source: Rfam
UACCUCUCAGGGUCGCAUCUGAAGAAUUUCCAGUACUCUACCGGUGUCAACUACGGGAGGGAGAGCCAAGCAGAGGCAUAUUCAUUCCAUUCCUAGCUUGGGCAGUGGCUAGCGAGUGGAAGGCAAUCUGCUACAAGU